CACCAGAAGAGUGAGCGAGAGAGAGAGAGAGAGCACAGUCAAAGCAAGCAGGCACCCAUUUGGUGGGAGCGAGUCAAGGCGAUGGCGACAUUCCCACCACACACUUGCUCUCGCGCAAGCAUCUCUAUCUCCUCACAAUCACAAGCAAGCAAGCAAGCAGUGAGCAUGGCAGAUGCGGCGCCCAUCUCACUCUCACGCUCUCCACCACCAUUCACCA
Molecule: long non-coding RNA, 217 nt
Filed under: Physcomitrium patens
Lineage: Eukaryota; Viridiplantae; Streptophyta; Bryopsida; Funariales; Funariaceae
Description: long non-coding RNA (PPAT_LNC003790)
Source: RNAcentral